RNAcentral lists this ribosomal RNA (555 nucleotides) under Synergistaceae bacterium. RNAcentral's name for it is "partial 23S ribosomal RNA". It matches the Rfam family "Bacterial large subunit ribosomal RNA", at positions 1 to 522 of the family's 2925-position model. Lineage: Bacteria; Thermotogati; Synergistota; Synergistia; Synergistales; Synergistaceae. The record is from RNAcentral.
GAGUAAAGUAUUAAGGGCGGACGGAGGAUGCCUUGGCAUUUGUCAGCGAAGAAGGACGCGGUAAGCUGCGAAAAGCUUCGGGGAGGCGCAAACAACCAUCGAUCCGAAGAUAUCCGAAUGGGGCAACCCCUCCGGCGCAGGCCGGAGACCUGUUUGAACAGGGGCGAAGCCGGCGAAGUGAAACAUCUCAGUAGCCGGAUAUAAAAGAAAUCGAAGAGAUUCCCUAAGUAGUGGUGAGCGAAAGGGGAUAUGAGCCUAAACCGCGUACGUGCAAGCCCGCAAGCGUUGCGUAGGGCGGGGUAAUAGGGUCUUGCUGGGAAGAGUUGCGGCCCUUCCAGGCAGUUACAAAGGACAACGGUUAGUUGAACGGUAUUGGGAAAGCCGACCGCAGAGGGUGAAAGUCCCGUAAGCGAAAACCUUGUCUCUGCCUGAGCAGGUACCCUGAGUAGGCCGGAGCACGUGAAAUUCCGGUUGAAUUCGGGCCGACCAUGGUCCAAGGCUGAACAUGACAAAUGACCGAUAGUGAAACAGUACCGAGAGGGAAAGGUGAAAAGC